GUUUACAUAAAAAUGUGGAUGUUCAGUUUCUCCUGAGGAGCCUGAAGCUCUGGAUCCCUGAGCCAGCAGUGUCGGGCUGGGGUUGAGCACAGGCCGUCCCCCAGAGCUCUGACCUCUUUGUAGCGGCCCCCACCCCUCCCCCCGCAAGCUCUCCCCACGCUGAGGUCAAGUGUCAGUUGCCAUUUGUCAUCAAGUCUGCCCAGUUGACCUUCUAUCUGGAGAUUUAAGAAGAAAGGAGUAUGUUUCUCAGAGCUCCUCUUUAUUGAAAACAGGCAAACAAAACAGACCAAGAGGCAGAAAAGACGGGAGAGAGACUAUUUCUUGAGACAUGGAGACAAUUCCCACGCGGUUAAUAUGCAAGCAAAGCGUGUCUGCCUGCAAGCAAUUCACAAAGACGCUAUGGGCAGCUCCUCCCCGUCAAACAUUACAGCCUGGCCCCUCGUGGCAUCGAAGGAUCCUCUGGCCCCUGCUCGAAGGAUUGUCAUCUCCGCAGUGGGGGCUAUUCUUACUGCACAGUUUGUAAAAAUAGGUAACCCAUGCUCAUGGAAAAGAAGUCUGCAGGCUACAGAAAGCGUGGCCAUGAAAAGCAAGACCCCCAGUCUCCCUUCCAAGAGGCCUCCACUUUCCAUGGAAUUGGAAUCCAAAGUAAGUUGAAUGAUGGGCCACCCCCCAAAGAUAUGCCCAUGCCCUAAUCUGUGGUACCUGUGAAUGUGAACUUAUUUGGGAAAAAAAAAUAAGGUAUUUGUGGAUGUAAUUACGUAAGGAUCUGAAGAUGAGGAAAUUAUCCUGGAUUAUCCAAGUGAGCCCCAAAUCCAGUGAUAGCAUCCUUAUAAAACAGAUGCAGGGAAGAGUAGGAGGCAAUGUGACUCUGGAGGCAGAGACUGGAGUGAUGUGGCUACAAGCCAAGAAAUGUGGGUAGUCACCAGAAGCUGCAAAAGGCAGUGAAUAGAUUCUCCCCCAAAGCUUCAGAAGGGAGCACGGGCCUGCUGACACCUGAAUUUCAGACUUCUGGCUUCCAGGAUGGUGAGAGGAAAAAAAUAUUGGUUUUUUAAAAUUUAUUUUUAUUUCUUAAAUUAC
Molecule: long non-coding RNA, 1077 nt
Filed under: Felis catus (domestic cat)
Lineage: Eukaryota; Metazoa; Chordata; Mammalia; Carnivora; Felidae
Description: lncRNA (ENSFCAG00000051029.1)
Source: RNAcentral